Molecule: transfer RNA, 56 nt
Filed under: Syndesmis kurakaikina
Lineage: Eukaryota; Metazoa; Platyhelminthes; Rhabdocoela; Umagillidae
Description: tRNA-Arg
Source: RNAcentral
AUUUAUGUUUUAAUGUACGGUUUCGGCCCGUGAUAAGGAGUUUACUCCCAUAAAUU